This 799-nucleotide ribosomal RNA is filed under the name uncultured crenarchaeote. Its description in RNAcentral is "bacterial SSU rRNA". It matches the Rfam family "Archaeal small subunit ribosomal RNA", at positions 62 to 836 of the family's 1478-position model. The record is from RNAcentral. Lineage: Archaea; Thermoproteati; Thermoproteota.
GCGCUCCUUAGCCAUGUUUGGAGAGCAGCAAACGGCUCCGUAACACGUAGUUAAUCUGCCCUUAGGACAGUUAUAACCCUGGGAAACUGGGGCUAAUGCUUGAUAGACGAAAACGCCUGGAAUGGUCUUUCGUCUAAAAGUUUUUGGAAACAUGCUUCUGAAAAUGCCUAAGGAUGAGACUGCGGCCGAUCAGGCUGUUGGCGGGGUAACGGCUCACCAAACCUAUUACCGGUACGGGCUCUGAAAGGAGUAGCCCGGAGAUGGGAACUGAGACAAGGUCCCAGGCCCUACGGGACGCAGCAGGCGCGAAAACUCCACAAUGCGCGAAAGCGUGAUGGGGCUAUCCCGAGUGCCGUCCGCUGAGGACUGCUUUUCCAUGCUGUAAGGAGGCGUGGGAAUAAGGAGAGGGCAAGCCUGGUGUCAGCCGCCGCGGUAAUACCAGCUCUCCGAGUGGUGGGGAUGUUUAUUGGGCUUAAAGCGUCCGUAGCCAGCUCUUCAAGUCUUUUGUUAAAUCCAACGAUUCAAUCGUUGGGCUGCGGGAGAUACUGUUGAGCUAGGAGGCGGGAGAAGUCGACGGUAUUUCCGGGGUAGGAGUGAAAUCCUAUAAUCCCGGGAGGACCACCAGUGGCGAAGGCGGUCGACUAGAACGCGCUCGACGGUGAGGGACGAAAGCUGGGGGAGCGAACCGGAUUAGAUACCCGGGUAGUCCCAGCUGUAAACGAUGCGGGCUAGGUGUUAGGGUGGCUACGAGCCACUCUAGUGCCGCAGGGAAACUGUUAAGCCCGCCGCCUGGGGGAGU